RNAcentral lists this ribosomal RNA (295 nucleotides) under Streptomyces qinglanensis. Its description in RNAcentral is "23S rRNA. Bacterial LSU". It matches the Rfam family "Bacterial large subunit ribosomal RNA", at positions 2633 to 2925 of the family's 2925-position model. Lineage: Bacteria; Bacillati; Actinomycetota; Actinomycetes; Kitasatosporales; Streptomycetaceae. The record is from RNAcentral.
GGUCCCUAUCCGCUGCGCGCGUAGGAGUCUUGAGAAGGGCUGUCCCUAGUACGAGAGGACCGGGACGGACGGACCUCUGGUGUGCCAGUUGUUCUGCCAAGGGCAUGGCUGGUUGGCUACGUUCGGGAAGGAUAACCGCUGAAAGCAUCUAAGCGGGAAGCCUGCUUCGAGAUGAGGACUCCCACCCCCUGUGAGGGGUUAAGGCUCCCUGGAGAUGACGGGGUUGAUAGGCCGGAUCUGGAAGCACGGUAACGUGUGGAGGUGACCGGUACUAAUAGGCCGAGGGCUUGUCCAU